RNAcentral lists this ribosomal RNA (253 nucleotides) under uncultured bacterium. RNAcentral's name for it is "partial 16S ribosomal RNA". It matches the Rfam family "Bacterial small subunit ribosomal RNA", at positions 524 to 776 of the family's 1533-position model. The record is from RNAcentral.
UACGUAUGGUGCAAGCGUUAUCCGGAUUUACUGGGCGUAAAGGGAGCGCAGGCGGCGCGCCAAGUCUGAUGUGAAACCCCGGGGCUCAACCCCGGGCAUGCAUUGGAAACUGGCGGGCUGGAGUGCCGGAGAGGUAAGCGGAAUUCCUAGUGUAGCGGUGAAAUGCGUAGAUAUUAGGAGGAACACCAGUGGCGAAGGCGGCUUACUGGACGGCACCUGACGCUGAGGCUCGAAAGCGUGGGGAGCAAACAGG